AUUUAUAUAGUUUAAUUAAUUUAAAACAUUACAUUUUCAUUGUAAAAUUAGAAAUAAUUCUUAUAAAUA
RNAcentral lists this transfer RNA (69 nucleotides) under Psylliodes sp. BMNH 846644. RNAcentral's name for it is "tRNA-Glu". Lineage: Eukaryota; Metazoa; Arthropoda; Insecta; Coleoptera; Chrysomelidae. The record is from RNAcentral.